This 408-nucleotide ribosomal RNA is filed under the name uncultured bacterium. RNAcentral describes it as "bacterial SSU rRNA". It matches the Rfam family "Bacterial small subunit ribosomal RNA", at positions 355 to 775 of the family's 1533-position model. The record is from RNAcentral.
CGGGGAAUAUUGCACAAUGGGCGCAAGCCUGAUGCAGCAACGCCGCGUGCGGGAUGACGGCCUUCGGGUUGUAAACCGCUUUUAGUUCUAACGAAGCGAAAGUGACGGUAGGGACAGAAAAAGGACCGGCUAACUACGUGCCAGCAGCCGCGGUGAUACGUAGGGUCCGAGCGUUGUCCGGAAUUAUUGGGCGUAAAGGGCUUGUAGGCGGUCUGCCGCGUCGGAAGUGCAAUCUCAGGGCUCAACCCUGAGCCUGCUUCCGAUACGGGCAGACUAGAGGGAUGCAGGGGAGAACGGAAUUCCUGGUGGAGCGGUGGAAUGCGCAGAUAUCAGGAGGAACACCGGUGGCGAAGGCGGUUCUCUGGGCAUUUCCUGACGCUGAGAAGCGAAAGCGUGGGGAGCAAACAG